Molecule: unclassified non-coding RNA, 1511 nt
Filed under: Drosophila ananassae
Lineage: Eukaryota; Metazoa; Arthropoda; Insecta; Diptera; Drosophilidae
Description: GF11925
Source: RNAcentral
GUUGCUUCGUGUCGGGCCAUCCGAAAAUUCGCUAAUAGUUUUCAAAAUUUGCCCGGCCAGUUGGGGAACAACAUUCAAACUUUGCAUAAUGCUUUAAACGUACAACUGUGAGAUACCAACCAACAUGAGCCAAUGUCAAAGUUAACCAAGUGCAGGAAACACAGCACAUAGCCGAACAGCUCUCAGAGAUUCGCCAACGAACCAAAAACAGAUCAGGAAUACAUUAGCAGAGUUGCCUUAGGAUUAAGCUUUAGCUACCAACGACCAUACGACACGGACCCGCCAGGAUCCACAGAUUCCAUUUAGAAUGCCCGCAGCCGCCACCACGAAGCAGCGCCCGCCCGCCUCCGUUGCCGAGGAGGGCAUGACGCCCAAGAAGACUGCCCUCAUCAUUGUGACCGUCAUCGGAUGCAUCGCCAUUCUGUGGCCAAAGGUCUUUCAUCCCAUGAUGUUUGGAGGAGUAGCGCCGCCCAAGCAAAACUUGAAGGAUCAGCGGGCCGGUCCAGGCGGCUGUUGCGAUGUGGUGCUUGACAGGGAGCACUUUAUGAAUGCCUCCAAGCCGGAAGGCCCAGAGCCCUUUGGGCCGCAUUUGUACCGCAAGCAGAUCAAUGUUUACACCGGCGAGAUAAGUCUGCGCCAGGAGCGUCCAGCCCACCUGCAUCCGGAAUCCAUAUAUCAGGCGAUGCGAGAGCGUGGGCGGGCCAUUCCGGCCACUCCCACCGUUCCCAUAGUGGAGCGCAAGAGUUCGCCCAGUAAUCCGCCUCCGCGAAUUGUUGACGGCCGGCCUGGACCGAUUCCUGGUAUGCGUCCGCCCAUGGGCGCCGGGGCUCUGCACCAGCCCCAGCAGCGUGGCAGUAGUAUGGGAUUCCUGAUGCCACUUUACACAAUCGGAAUUGUUGUGUUCUUCGGUUACACGAUAAUGAAGAUUAUGUUCAAGAAGCAAAUACCCAACUCUCCAUACGGCGCAGCCCCUUCGGAUCCUAGUUUCCGGCAAGAGGUCUUCGGCCAACAGAAUCACAGCCAGGUGGAGGACCUGGGUGGCAACAAACUGGGCUGGCGAGAGCACCGUACAAGAGCUGCAGCAGUCGAGAAGUCGCCGACACCCAAGGACACCGGCAGGGAGCUCUACAAUGCCAGUGUAUCGGCCGCCGAAGUGGCCAACAGCAUGUCCAGUUCGCUGAAGCAUCACCAGCAAGAGAAGGAGGUCGAGCAGCUGAUGGAGAUCGAGAAACUGCGCCAGAAGCUCGAGAACACGGAGCGGGCGAUGGCCAAGCUGAUUGCUGAAAUGAACACCGACCAGGUCCAGGCAAAGAUGAUUGCCAUGAAGUUUCUCAAGCGGCAGCCAAACCUCUAAGACAAAAUAAGACCAUCAUUCAGUUCACAUAGAAUCCAUCAGUAAACAGAUCCAAAAUCAGACCAGAUCACAACUAAUUGUAACGGCCAUACAAGGUUUAAUAGACGCUGCCGAUGAGCAAUUGAACGGCCCAGACAAGCUGAGGGCGACGAGCGAC